GACGAACGCUGGCGGCGUGCUUAACACAUGCAAGUCGAACGGUGAAGCGCCUUCCUUUUUGGUGGGUGUGGAUGAGUGGCGAAUGGGUGAGUAACACGUGAGUAACCUGCCCCCUUCUUCUGGAUAACCGCAUGAAAGUGUGGCUAAUACGGGAUAUUCUGGGUCUGUCGCAUGAUGGGUCUGGGAAAGAUAUUGUUUCGGUGGGGGAUGGGCUCGCGGCCUAUCAGCUUGUUGGUGGGGUGAUGGCCUACCAAGGCGGUGACGGGUAGCCGGCCUGAGAGGGUGGACGGUCACACUGGGACUGAGACACGGCGCAGACUCCUACGGGAGGCAGCAGUGGGGAAUAUUGCACAAUGGGCGCAAGCCUGAUGCAGCGACGCCGCGUGAGGGAUGGAGGCCUUCGGGUUGUGAACCUCUUUCGCCAGUGAAGCAGGCCUGCCUCGUUUGUGGGUGGGUUGACGGUAGCUGGAUAAGAAGCGCCGGCUAACUACGUG
This 494-nucleotide ribosomal RNA is filed under the name uncultured bacterium. Its description in RNAcentral is "partial 16S ribosomal RNA". It matches the Rfam family "Bacterial small subunit ribosomal RNA", at positions 28 to 507 of the family's 1533-position model. The record is from RNAcentral.